Molecule: long non-coding RNA, 1708 nt
Filed under: Fragaria vesca (wild strawberry)
Lineage: Eukaryota; Viridiplantae; Streptophyta; Magnoliopsida; Rosales; Rosaceae
Description: long non-coding RNA (FVES_LNC003941)
Source: RNAcentral
AGAAAGAAUAUUCAGUCAUUCAACUUCCUCCGUUGACUUCUCAACUAGGGACAAUAAGAGAUUACGGUAAAAGAUAUCACAAUUACGUAACAAGUGCUUCAAUUUCAGUGGAUCCAGUUUUACAUCCAGAUAAUUGAAAAUUAUACAGCGCACCCAGGUGCGCCGCGCACCCGUCCAUCUCCGCCGUCCAUUUGACGCGGACUUUUGACUUUUUCAAAAUGGACGGCGGAGAUGGACGGGUGCGUGGCGCACGCUCUCCCAGAUGAUUGCAUUGUUGUAAUCACAUUUGAGGAGCGUCGCCAGUCGGUUUUUCUUAGACUCUAUAAAGAUACAAGUUGGACUUACAUUAGAGGUGAAAAAACAAUUGAUUGAGGAAGUUGUUGAUAUCCAAAACCAAUAGUAUGCUUUGUAGUUUUGGGACAAACUUUUAUCUUUUGAUAGUACUGAUGAGUUUAACUAAUUUGUUACAUGUGGUGUUAAUAUUCCAUAUUGCUGAAAUUUAUUUCAAACAUGCAAUUCUGAUAUUUUAGAACUGAGACUAUUGCUUAGCUACUUCCUCAACUUCGAUUAUAAGUUCUCUAGAACUCUUGAAUUAAGAUUUGUUGAUCCUUGUACAUCAUAAUCCGCCCAAACUUCUUCUCAUCGCAAAAUGGCACGAAUAUCUGUCUUGCAAGUUACACCAACAAACUGAGGGACUAGAGAUAGAGUUCCAGCACUUUGGAUCUAGCAGAACACUGAAGUUCAGAACGGCUAAUCUCAAGUUUAUCCAUAAAAAAAAUGAUAUAUCUUUAAUCAAGAAACACAAAGCAUGUCCAAGUUAAUAGUAAUGUUCUAGUGCUAGACCUUUCCCCUUCUCAAUGAUAGAUUAUAGUCCAACACUUUCUCUUGUUUAGGCUUCUGGAAAUUAUGAACAUUCAACAUUGUUCCCAAGGGAAUAGUAGACCAAUUGAUAUUGGAGACCUGCAGCUUCCUAUCUGUGACAACAAUCCUAACCUUCAAUGAAUAGGAGAAGUAGACUAUCUCUACCAAAUAUACAUAUAUACAGGACUAUAUGUUUCAAAUUAUGUAUCCAGAUUGGAAAAGUUUGCCAUCAGAUUAUUUGCGGUGUAGCAUUGUUUGUAAAUCAUGGAAUUGCGUAGCAAACGAUAAUCGAAUCCAACAAGCUAAGAUGAUGUCAAAUUCUCAUCACCCUCCUAUGCUCUUGAUUCGUGCAAAAGAAGAAGAUACAUGGAACUUGUACAACAUUAUGGAAAAAAAAGGUUCUUGAUAUGCAAGUCACAGUGCCACCUAACUAUAAACGGUUUUCUGGAUCCUCAAAGGGAUGGUUGAUAGCUUUGGAUGAGAAUUUUGUAGUAACACUGAUAAAUCCUUUCUCUAGAGUUAAGGGAAGGAGAGAGAAAGAAAAUUCAAUCAUUCGGCUUCCUCCUUUGAAUCAUCAACAAUCGACAAUAAGAUUACGAGGUGAAGAGUAUCAGCAUUACCUCACACGUACUACAAUUUCAGCUGAUCCAAUCUUGUAUCCAGAUGAUUGCAUUGUUGUGAUCGUAUUUGAGGAGUUUUGCUAGUUCUACUCAGACGUAGAAUUGGUUAGGUGUUGUGACCAAAACAUAUGGGUUUUUGCCCGGAGAGAUAUCUCGUGUAUUCAAACGAGAGAGAAUUGUUGGUGUGGUAUUAAAAAACGGAGGACAAAGGAAUUCCGCGUUUUUGG